AAGUGAAAGUUAACACUAUAGCCUCUUUUUGUUUCACAUUAAACUGCUAUUACUAUAUGCAGCUAACCUCUCCAAACAACUUAUUGAAAAUAAUGGUCUAUUCCUAAAAAAAAAAAAAAAAAAAAAAAAAAAAAAAAAAAAAAAAAAAAAAAAAAAAAAAAAAAAAAAAAAAAAAAAAAAAAAAAAAAAAAAAAAAAAAAAAAAAAAAAAAAAAAAAAAAAAAAAAAAAAAAAAAAAAAAAAAAAAAAAAAAAAAAAAAAAAAAAAAAAAAAAAAAAAAAAAAAAAAAAAAAAAAAAAAAAAAAAAAAAAAAAAAAAAAAAAAAAAAAAAAAAAAAAAAAAAAAAAAAAAAAAAAAAAAAAAAAAAAAAAAAAAAAAAAAAAAAAAAAAAAAAAAAAAAAAAAAAAAAAAAAAAAAAAAAAAAAAAAAAAAAAAAAAAAAAAAAAAAAAAAAAAAAAAAAAAAAAAAAAAAAAAAAAAAAAAAAAAAAAAAAAAAAAAAAAAAAAAAAAAAAAAAAAAAAAAAAAAAAAAAAAAAAAAAAAAAAAAAAAAAAAAAAAAAAAAAAAAAAAAAAAAAAAAAAAAAAAAAAAAAAAAAAAAAAAAAAAAAAAAAAAAAAAAAAAAAAAAAAAAAAAAAAAAAAAAAAAAAAAAAAAAAAAAAAAAAAAAAAAAAAAAAAAAAAAAAAAAAAAAAAAAAAAAAAAAAAAAAAAAAAAAAAAAAAAAAAAAAAAAAAAAAAAAAAAAAAAAAAAAAAAAAAAAAAAAAAAAAAAAAAAAAAAAAAAAAAAAAAAAAAAAAAAAAAAAAAAAAAAAAAAAAAAAAAAAAAAAAAAAAAAAAAAAAAAAAAAAAAAAAAAAAAAAAAAAAAAAAAAAAAAAAAAAAAAAAAAAAAAAAAAAAAAAAAAAAAAAAAAAAAAAAAAAAAAAAAAAAAAAAAAAAAAAAAAAAAAAAAAAAAAAAAAAAAAAAAAAAAAAAAAAAAAAAAAAAAAAAAAAAAAAAAAAAAAAAAAAAAAAAAAAAAAAAAAAAAAAAAAAAAAAAAAAAAAAAAAAAAAAAAAAAAAAAAAAAAAAAAAAAAAAAAAAAAAAAAAAAAAAAAAAAAAAAAAAAAAAAAAAAAAAAAAAAAAAAAAAAAAAAAAAAAAAAAAAAAAAAAAAAAAAAAAAAAAAAAAAAAAAAAAAAAAAAAAAAAAAAAAAAAAAAAAAAAAAAAAAAAAAAAAAAAAAAAAAAAAAAAAAAAAAAAAAAAAAAAAAAAAAAAAAAAAAAAAAAAAAAAAAAAAAAAAAAAAAAAAAAAAAAAAAAAAACUGAAAUAUCUUGCUUGCAUAAGUAUUCAACCCCCACACAUUAAUAUUUGGUAGAGCCACCUUUCGCU
RNAcentral lists this long non-coding RNA (1366 nucleotides) under Felis catus (domestic cat). Its description in RNAcentral is "lncRNA (ENSFCAG00000048052.1)". The record is from RNAcentral. Lineage: Eukaryota; Metazoa; Chordata; Mammalia; Carnivora; Felidae.